Molecule: ribosomal RNA, 768 nt
Filed under: uncultured euryarchaeote
Lineage: Archaea; Methanobacteriati; Methanobacteriota
Description: bacterial SSU rRNA
Rfam family: Archaeal small subunit ribosomal RNA (bases 1-475)
Source: RNAcentral
CGGUAAUACCGGCAGCUCRAGUGGUCGUCGCUUUUAUUGGGCCUAAAACGUCCGUAGCCUGUUUGGUAAAUCUGUGGGUAAAUCAACCAGCUUAACUGGUUGAAUUCUGCAGAGACUGCCAGACUAGGGACCGGGAGAGGUGUGGGGUACUCUAGGGGUAGGGGUAAAAUCCUGUCAUCCUUAGAGGACCACCAGUUGCGAAGGCGCCACACURGAACGGAUCCGACGGUCAGGGACGAAGCCUAGGGGCACGAACCGGAUUAGAUACCCGGGUAGUCCUAGGUGUAAACGCUGUGAACUUGGUGUCGGGAGUCCGCAAUGGGYCCCCGGUGCCGGAGUGAAGAUGUUAAGUUCACUGCCUGGGGAGUACGGUCGCAAGGCUGACGGUAAUACCGGCAGCUCRAGUGGUCGUCGCUUUUAUUGGGCCUAAAACGUCCGUAGCCUGUUUGGUAAAUCUGUGGGUAAAUCAACCAGCUUAACUGGUUGAAUUCUGCAGAGACUGCCAGACUAGGGACCGGGAGAGGUGUGGGGUACUCUAGGGGUAGGGGUAAAAUCCUGUCAUCCUUAGAGGACCACCAGUUGCGAAGGCGCCACACURGAACGGAUCCGACGGUCAGGGACGAAGCCUAGGGGCACGAACCGGAUUAGAUACCCGGGUAGUCCUAGGUGUAAACGCUGUGAACUUGGUGUCGGGAGUCCGCAAUGGGYCCCCGGUGCCGGAGUGAAGAUGUUAAGUUCACUGCCUGGGGAGUACGGUCGCAAGGCUGA